Molecule: non-coding RNA, 1377 nt
Organism: Zonotrichia albicollis (white-throated sparrow)
Lineage: Eukaryota; Metazoa; Chordata; Aves; Passeriformes; Passerellidae
Source: RefSeq, a predicted model, not a curated record
UCCUUUUUCAGGGUUGGGUCUUGCAAUAAUAUGAAAUGUACAGUGGCAAGAAAGAAAUAUCGUAAGAGUAACUCAUCCUUCUGUGAUGUGUUACCCAGCUGUGGGAUGAGCAGGAUCACAGUGCAUGGAUGAAGAGCUGUUUGAGGGGCAAGGCUGGCAGAGUUGUAGAGCAUGGGGCUGCACCUGUGUGGCACUGGGUCUCCAGCAGUGGCAGUGCUCCUCAGGGUUCCACUCAGCCAGUUCUGCCCAGAACGCCAGGGAGCAACCUGGGAGCAGGAGGUGAAUGCACCAUUAGCAUCUUUGCUCAUGAGACUGAACUGGGAGCUGCCCUUGGCUGUCUCAAGGGACAAGAUGCCUUGCAGAAGGAUCUAGAACUGAUUCACAGUGAGCAGAACUCAAGUAACAUAAGGAGCAGCAAACAUGUUUCCUUUCCUGCAACAUCACUCUGGAAGGGAGAAGUGUUAUAACUACUGCUGAAUCAGAGCAGCAGAAGCACGUUGUCUGCAAAUCAUGAGAAAGGAGAUGUCUGGUUUGAGACUUCCUUGGGAUUUCACUUCCACAAUUAUUUUCAUUCGUUUCCUACUGCUGUUUUGUCCAGUCACCCUUCCCUAAGCUUUCCACAGUCAUAUCCAAGGCACACUGGAGACUGAGAAAGAGUCAAUAAUCAAAUGGGCUCAGAUGUUCUCAUGCAACAGAACUAUUCAGACUCCCUUUAUUUUCACAAAAAAGCUCUGGAAACACGUGCUGUCCAUUUUCCAACUGCUGAAAACAUUUCCAGGAGAAUGGUAAAACCAUGGGAAACUCUUGUAGAUGACGCUGACUCCCAGAGGCACAGUUCAGGUGCUCUGUGGCUGUGACGAGUUUGGGCUGACUUCCUACCCCAAGGAGAGCUGUGAAGUGAGGGUGAAGAGAGGUGGAAAGCAGUGCAGGCUGAUGGAAAGUGUGCAGCCCUCAGUUCUGAAUAAACCUGCCACACACCUGUGAGGCUCUACAGGUGUGCAGCUUGUGUGGGUUACAAACUGCCAGCUGCUUGUCACCUCUCUCCCAGCCCUGGCGGCUCUGGGAUCCCCAGGAAGCAGAGUGAGGCAGUCCCCGCUUCAAACAGCCUCCAGCAGUCACCUCAGCCUCUGUUAAAGAUGUACAGAUCAAGUGCCAGCACAAGAAGUGAUGCUGUUGUCAUAACCUGAAUCUUACACGUCCCAUCGGAGAUGAAUUUUCUUUGUGAAAUGUGCAACACCAGCUGAUAAAGUGUGCACAAGAUCAUUACUGACUGAAUUUUUCUAUUUUAUGUUUCAAAUGCUGAAACAACUGCUUUGAGAGAAAUAUAUCUUGCUUUAUUCCUCUUAUUCUGAGACAUAGUAAAAUAUUUCCAUAUUU